CCUACGGGAGGCAGCAGGGAGGAAUAUUGGGCAAUGGGCGCAAGCCUGACCCAGCAACGCCGCGUGGAGGAAGAAGGCCUUCGGGUUGUAAACUCCUUUUCUGGGGGAAGAGGCAGGACGGUACCCCAGGAAGAAGCACCGGCUGACUACGUGCCAGCAGCCGCGGUAAAACGUAGGGUGCGAGCGUUAUCCGGAUUUAUUGGGCGUAAAGGGCACGCAGGCGGUUCUGCAAGUCGGACGUGAAAGCCUCUGGCUUAACUGGGGGAGGUCGUUCGAGACUGCGGGACUGGAGGGCGGGAGAGGGGUGUGGAAUUCCCGGUGUAGUGGUUAAAUGCGUAGAGAUCAGGAGGAACACCGAUGGCGAAGGCAGCCCCCUGGGUUGACACUGACGCUCAUGCACGAAAGCGUGGGGAGCAAACAGGAUUAGAUCCCUUUGUAGU
Molecule: ribosomal RNA, 440 nt
Filed under: uncultured bacterium
Lineage: Bacteria
Description: partial 16S ribosomal RNA
Rfam family: Bacterial small subunit ribosomal RNA
Source: RNAcentral